Molecule: ribosomal RNA, 427 nt
Filed under: uncultured bacterium
Lineage: Bacteria
Description: bacterial SSU rRNA
Rfam family: Bacterial small subunit ribosomal RNA
Source: RNAcentral
UGGGGAAUUUUGGACAAUGGGCGCAAGCCUAAUCCAGCAAUGCCGCGUGAGUGAAGAAGGCCUUCGGGUUGUAAAGCUCUUUCAGACGGAAAGAAAUCUCUUGGGCGAAUACCCUGGGAGGAUGACGGUACCGUAAGAAGAAGCACCGGCUAACUACGUGCCAGCAGCCGCGGUAAUACGUAGGGUGCGAGCGUUAAUCGGAAUUACUGGGCGUAAAGCGUACGCAGGCGGUGAUGUAAGACAGGUGUGAAAUCCCCGGGCUUAACCUGGGAAUUGCAUUUGUGACUGCAUCGCUGGAGUGCGGCAGAGGGGGAUGGAAUUCCGCGUGUAGCAGUGAAAUUCGUAGAUAUCGGGAGGAACACCAGUGGCGAAGGCGGCGAUCUGGGUCGAUACUGACGCUGAGGUGCGAAAGCGUGGGGAGCAAACA